This 1346-nucleotide ribosomal RNA is filed under the name uncultured bacterium. RNAcentral describes it as "bacterial SSU rRNA". It matches the Rfam family "Bacterial small subunit ribosomal RNA", at positions 28 to 1381 of the family's 1533-position model. The record is from RNAcentral.
GACGAACGCUGGCGGCGUGCUUAACACAUGCAUUUCGAACGGAAAGGCCCUGCUUUUGUGGGGUGCUCGAGUGGCGAACGGGUGAGUAACACGUGAGUAACCUGCCCUUGACUUUGGGAUAACUUCAGGAAACUGGGGCUAAUACCGGAUAGGAGCUCCUGCUGCAUGGUGGGGGUUGGAAAGUUUCGGCGGUUGGGGAUGGACUCGCGGCUUAUCAGCUUGUUGGUGGGGUAGUGGCUUACCAAGGCUUUGACGGGUAGCCGGCCUGAGAGGGUGACCGGCCACAUUGGGACUGAGAUACGGCCCAGACUCCUACGGGAGGCAGCAGUGGGGAAUAUUGCACAAUGGGCGGAAGCCUGAUGCAGCAACGCCGCGUGCGGGAUGACGGCCUUCGGGUUGUAAACCGCUUCCGCCUGUGACGAAGCGUGAGUGACGGUAAUGGGUAAAGAAGCACCGGCUAACUACGUGCCAGCAGCCGCGGUGAUACGUAGGGUGCGAGCGUUGUCCGGAUUUAUUGGGCGUAAAGGGCUCGUAGGUGGUUGAUCGCGUCGGAAGUGUAAUCUUGGGGCUUAACCCUGAGCGUGCUUUCGAUACGGGUUGACUUGAGGAAGGUAGGGGAGAAUGGAAUUCCUGGUGGAGCGGUGGAAUGCGCAGAUAUCAGGAGGAACACCAGUGGCGAAGGCGGUUCUCUGGGCCUUUCCUGACGCUGAGGAGCGAAAGCGUGGGGAGCGAACAGGCUUAGAUACCCUGGUAGUCCACGCUGUAAACGGUGGGUACUAGGUGUGGGGUCCAUUCCACGGGUUCCGUGCCGUAGCUAACGCUUUAAGUACCCCGCCUGGGGAGUACGGCCGCAAGGCUAAAACUCAAAGGAAUUGACGGGGCCCCGCACAAGCGGCGGAGCAUGCGGAUUAAUUCGAUGCAACGCGUAGAACCUUACCUGGGUUUGACAUGGAUCGGGAGUGCUCAGAGAUGGGUGUGCCUCUUUUGGGGUCGGUUCACAGGUGGUGCAUGGCUGUCGUCAGCUCGUGUCGUGGGAUGUUGGGUUAAGUCCCGCAACGAGCGCAACCCUUGUUCACUGUUGCCAGCACGUUAUGGUGGGGACUCAGUGGAGACCGCCGGGGUCAACUCGGAGGAAGGUGGGGAUGACGUCAAGUCAUCAUGCCCCUUAUGUCCAGGGCUUCACGCAUGCUACAAUGGCUGGUACAGAGAGUGGCGAGCCUGUGAGGGUGAGCGAAUCUCGGAAAGCCGGUCUCAGUUCGGAUUGGGGUCUGCAACUCGACCCCAUGAAGUCGGAGUCGCUAGUAAUCGCAGAUCAGCAACGCUGCGGUGAAUACGUUCCCGGGGCU